GAUGAACGCUAGCUACAGGCUUAACACAUGCAAGUCGAGGGGAAACGGCAUUAAGUGCUUGCACUUUUUGGACGUCGACCGGCGCACGGGUGAGUAACGCGUAUCCAACCUUCCCAUGACUAAGGGAUAACCUGCCGAAAGGCAGACUAAUACCUUAUGGUCUUCACUGACGGCAUCAGAUGUGAAGUAAGGAUUUAUCGGUUAUGGAUGGGGAUGCGUCUGAUUAGUUAGUUGGCGGGGUAACGGCCCACCAAGGCAACGAUCAGUAGGGGUUCUGAGAGGAAGGUCCCCCACAUUGGAACUGAGACACGGUCCAAACUCCUACGGGAGGCAGCAGUGAGGAAUAUUGGUCAAUGGGCGAGAGCCUGAACCAGCCAAGUAGCGUGCAGGAUGACGGCCCUAUGGGUUGUAAACUGCUUUUGUAUGGGGAUAAAGUCAAUCACGUGUGAUUGUUUGCAGGUACCAUACGAAUAAGGACCGGCUAAUUCCGUGCCAGCAGCCGCGGUAAUACGGAAGGUCCGGGCGUUAUCCGGAUUUAUUGGGUUUAAAGGGAGCGUAGGCUGGAGAUUAAGUGUGUUGUGAAAUGUAGACGCUCAACGUCUGACUUGCAGCGCAUACUGGUUUCCUUGAGUACGCACAACGUUGGCGGAAUUCGUCGUGUAGCGGUGAAAUGCUUAGAUAUGACGAAGAACUCCGAUUGCGAAGGCAGCUGACGGGAGCGCAACUGACGCUGAAGCUCGAAGGUGCGGGUAUCGAACAGG
This 761-nucleotide ribosomal RNA is filed under the name Prevotella melaninogenica. Its description in RNAcentral is "bacterial SSU rRNA". It matches the Rfam family "Bacterial small subunit ribosomal RNA", at positions 28 to 776 of the family's 1533-position model. Lineage: Bacteria; Pseudomonadati; Bacteroidota; Bacteroidia; Bacteroidales; Prevotellaceae. The record is from RNAcentral.